This 76-nucleotide transfer RNA is filed under the name Thermoleophilia bacterium. RNAcentral's name for it is "tRNA-Arg". It matches the Rfam family "tRNA". From Rfam's summary of the family: Transfer RNA (tRNA) molecules are approximately 80 nucleotides in length. Their secondary structure includes four short double-helical elements and three loops (D, anti-codon, and T loops). Lineage: Bacteria; Bacillati; Actinomycetota; Thermoleophilia. The record is from RNAcentral.
GCGCCCGUAGCUCAGUGGACAGAGUCGCUGGCUUCGAACCAGAAGGUCGCAGGUUCGAGUCCUGCCGGGCGCGCCA